This 305-nucleotide ribosomal RNA is filed under the name uncultured bacterium. RNAcentral describes it as "bacterial SSU rRNA". It matches the Rfam family "Bacterial small subunit ribosomal RNA", at positions 334 to 655 of the family's 1533-position model. The record is from RNAcentral.
GUUACCUACGGGACGCAGCAGUGGGGAAUACUGCGCAAUGGGGGAAACCCUGACGCAGCAACGCCGCGUGAGUGAGGAAGUAUUUCGGUAUGUAAAGCUCUAUCAGCAGGGAAGAAAAAUGACGGUACCUGAGUAAGAAGCACCGGCUAAAUACGUGCCAGCAGCCGCGGUAAUACGUAUGGUGCAAGCGUUAUCCAGAUUUACUGGGUGUAAAGGGAGCGCAGGCGGUGCGGCAAGUCUGAUGUGAAAGCCCGGGGCUCAACCCCGGGACUGCAUUGGAAACUACCGAACUAGAGUGUCGGAGA